GGACUAGACAGUCAUUAGAUACAGAAUACACAAGUUCCUCUCACAGAAGGGCUGAAAGAAUCCGAAGGGGGUGGUAAUGGUGAGAGCAGCUGUCCACCCCAUAAAGACCAAGUCGUCAGGAUUGCAGAAGCAGAUACUUGGACUCUCACCACCAGGACUCUACUGCUGUCGACCUGUUUUGUUUUGUUCUGUUCUGUUUUUCUCAGAUCUGAGGUCAGGAUUCCCUGGCUGACUCAUAGGCUGGCUGACUCGAGCAUCACCCCUCCCCUCUGGAGAUCAAAGCUCACCUCAGGAGAACCUCUCAAGGAAGAAACAGCAGCGGAACCCCGGCCCAGGCAGGAAAAGCCAGUCAACAAAUUCCUGAAGAGAUUAGACUGGAGAAACCAGCGGCUCAAAAUUGAGAGACAUCCACCAUCACAGUUCAGGACAGUAGCCAACAUUGGCUCAGCCAUGUUCCAAACAUUUCUGUCAGACUCUCAGCUUGGCUGGUGUCCAACUAAGUUGAGAUUCCCCCAAAAUGUUCCAGAAGUGUGUCUAGUAACCCAAGUUUGCAAAGCACACAAAACAAAACAGCACUCAUAGGCUCUGGGAAGUCCUAUACCAGAAGACAGACAAAGAAAACACUCAGGUGAACUUCGAAGAACCUAGGUCUUCAAAGCUUAUUAUUUCUAAACAGAUUUCAAUUUCUUUCUGUACAUAGCACCUCAUGGAUCAGGC
Long non-coding RNA from Alexandromys fortis (reed vole), 717 nucleotides. RefSeq lists it as uncharacterized. The record is from RefSeq and is a predicted model, not a curated record. The transcript is spliced from 3 exons. Lineage: Eukaryota; Metazoa; Chordata; Mammalia; Rodentia; Cricetidae.